GCCCUANGAGUUGAUUCCUGGCUCAGAUUGAACGCUGGCGGCAGGCCUAACACAUGCAAGUCGAACGGUAACAGGAAGCAGCUUGCUGCUUCGCUGACGAGUGGCGGACGGGUGAGUAAUGUCUGGGAAACUGCNUGAUGGAGGGGAUAACUACUGGAAACGGUAGCUAAUACCGCAUAACGUCGCAAGACCAAAGAGGGGGACCUUCGGGCCUCUUGCCAUCGGAUGUGCCCAGAUGGGAUUAGCUAGUAGGUGGGGUAACGGCUCACCUAGGCGACGAUCCCUAGCUGGUCUGAGAGGAUGACCAGCCACACUGGAACUGAGACACGGUCCAGACUCCUACGGGAGGCAGCAGUGGGGAAUAUUGCACAAUGGGCGCAAGCCUGAUGCAGCCAUGCCGCGUGUAUGAAGAAGGCCUUCGGGUUGUAAAGUACUUUCAGCGGGGAGGAAGGCGGUGAGGUUAAUAACCUCAUCGAUUGACGUACCCGCAAAAAGCACCGGAACU
RNAcentral lists this ribosomal RNA (505 nucleotides) under uncultured bacterium. Its description in RNAcentral is "bacterial SSU rRNA". It matches the Rfam family "Bacterial small subunit ribosomal RNA", at positions 1 to 502 of the family's 1533-position model. The record is from RNAcentral.